UGGGAACGUGCCCUUCAGUUCGGAACAACCCAGGGAAACUUGGGCUAAUACCGGAUACGUCCGUAAGGAGAAAGAUUUAUCGCUGAAGGAUCGCCCCGCGUCUGAUUAGCUAGUUGGUGGGGUAAUGGCCCACCAAGGCUACGAUCAGUAGCUGGUCUGAGAGGAUGAUCAGCCACACUGGGACUGAGACACGGCCCAGACUCCUACGGGAGGCAG
RNAcentral lists this ribosomal RNA (216 nucleotides) under uncultured bacterium. RNAcentral describes it as "partial 16S ribosomal RNA". It matches the Rfam family "Bacterial small subunit ribosomal RNA", at positions 119 to 351 of the family's 1533-position model. The record is from RNAcentral.